GAUGAACGCUGGCGGCGUGCCUAAUACAUGCAAGUCGAGCGAACAGACGAGGAGCUUGCUCCUCUGACGUUAGCGGCGGACGGGUGAGUAACACGUGGAUAACCUACCUAUAAGACUGGGAUAACUUCGGGAAACCGGAGCUAAUACCGGAUAAUAUAUUGAACCGCAUGGUUCAAUAGUGAAAGACGGUUUUGCUGUCACUUAUAGAUGGAUCCGCGCCGCAUUAGCUAGUUGGUAGGGUAACGGCUUACCAAGGCGACGAUGCGUAGCCGACCUGAGAGGGGGAGCGCCGCCAUGGGAGGGGGAACGGGGCCAAGGGGAAUGCGAGAGGGAGCAGAGGGAAAUGGGCGGAAGGGGUGGAGAGCCUGACGAAACGGCGCGGAGUGUGAGGUGAAGAUGGUGGGUGCGUAAAGCUGGUUUUUGGGGUAAAAAAAGAUUUGAAAGUAGAUGUACAGGUAUUGACGGUACCUAAUAAAAAAGCACCGGCUAACUACGUG
Molecule: ribosomal RNA, 497 nt
Filed under: uncultured bacterium
Lineage: Bacteria
Description: partial 16S ribosomal RNA
Rfam family: Bacterial small subunit ribosomal RNA
Source: RNAcentral